GUUUAAACAAAAUUUUAUAUACCUUAAAUCCUUUAAAACUAGUAUUUUUUUAAAAUAAUAAAACUCAACAGACAUAAAAAAAUUAUUUUAUUGGAAUGAGAGUAGAUUAAUGUUUUCAGUAUUUCUUAUUUCUUUUAUCUUUUAGUUACAAUGCCCAAAUAAUAAAGGUCUGUGAAAAGAUCUUAUCUAUAUUGGUAAACAGGCCUCAUGUCAGAAACUUAGCAGGAUUUAAAGAAUAUAAAUAUUUCAAUAACCUCAGCUGAUUGUGUUAAUUUCAUGUAACCAAUUUAGUUAUAUGUAAACAUUUUGAAAAUUAUUUUGUACAAAUUUUGUUUUAAUUUACUUAGACUUUAUAGCCUUUCACUUUACUGGGUGAAAUUUUUCUUAAACCUUUCUAUAUAAAUCACACCUGAUAGAAGUUUAACUCCCAGCCCCUUGGUUCUCAUGAGGACAUAGAAAACAAAGGAAUUUUAGAUCUUUUUUUAUAUUAACCAAAUUACAAACACAUCUAAUGUUUACGUAUAUUUUAGUUAAUAGGGUCUGAUGUUUUUAUAUUUAGUAGAUGAUAUUUUAGCACCCAAUGGAUGACAUUCUAACACUCUAACCUUGCAAAUCAAUAAGUACCUCUUUUAAUAAAGACAUAUAAUUACUCCCCUUUACCUUAAAUGUAUUUAUUCUUAACUAUAAGAUCCAAGACAUCAAACAAAUGUAGAUAACAGUAUUAAUUAUCUUUUUCCUGCUAAGGAAAAUUGUUAGAAGCAAAUAGAUAUAAAUUUUAAAUAUCAUAGGGAUUAACAACUUUAUUAUUAUUAUUAUUUUAAUAUCUGUAUUUUAUUUAUUUAUUUUUAUGUGGUGCUGAGGAUUGAACCCAGCGCCUCGAAUGUGCUAGGGGAGCAUUCUAUCACUGAACCCCAGCCCCAGCCCCACAAGUUAAUUAUUUAACCAGCUGGAAAAUUUUGAUUUAAUAAUUUUAAAGAUAUCUUUAUUUAUAACUCUCUACCCUAUUUCAAUUGAAACUUUUUAAAUCAAGUGAAUUAAAGCUAUUUGGGUCCAUUUUUUAUGUUAAUUUUAAAUUAUGAUCAUGCUUAUUUAUUUAUAAGUCAAUUUUAAUAUCAUGUAAUGUAGACAUAAUAUAAGCAUUAUGUACACACAUUUACAAAUCAGACAAAUAAAAGAAUUUUUAUAACUUUCUGUAAGUGGAGCUCCAAAGGUUGUAUGGAGUGGUACAAAUACUUAUCAAAGCUUUUAUUUGAUUUAACCUGUUUCGGAAUUAUGUUAGAACCAAUAAAACAUUUAUAUGAUUUAAUUACAAGGCAGGCCUGCUUUGAUGGAUAAGCCACAUUGAAAUCUGACAAUUAUGAGAACACUUAAAUAAAUUAUUUCAGAUUGCCAGCUUCUUGUCCUAAUAAUUGUCAGACCUACUCUUAGCAUCAUCCCUAACAAACAAAAAAUAAUCCAUUAAAAAGCAUAAUUAGAAUGUUCUUUAUUAACUUUGGAAUUUUUCUCAUUUAACUUUGGCUAUCG
Molecule: long non-coding RNA, 1524 nt
Filed under: Marmota monax (woodchuck)
Lineage: Eukaryota; Metazoa; Chordata; Mammalia; Rodentia; Sciuridae
Source: RNAcentral